UGGGGAAUUUUGGACAAUGGGCGCAAGCCUGAUCCAGCCAUGCCGCGUGAGUGAAGAAGGCCUUCGGGUUGUAAAGCUCUUUCGGCGGGGACGAAAUGGUUCGUGCCAAUACCACGGACUGAUGACGGUACCUGAAGAAGAAGCACCGGCUAACUACGUGCCAGCAGCCGCGGUAAUACGUAGGGUGCAGGCGUUAAUCGGAAUUACUGGGCGUAAAGCGUGCGCAGGCGGUUUGUUAAGACAGAUGUGAAAUCCCCGGGCUUAACCUGGGAACUGCGUUUGUAACUGGCAGACUGGAGUGUGGCAGAGGGGGGUGGAAUUCCAAGUGUAGCAGUGAAAUGCGUAGAUAUUUGGAGGAACACCGAUGGCGAAGGCAGCCCCCUGGGCUAACACUGACGCUCAUGCACGAAAGCGUGGGAGCAAACAGGAUUAGAUACCCAUGUAUUCCCUGAGCGGGCUGGCAAGGCGCAU
RNAcentral lists this ribosomal RNA (471 nucleotides) under uncultured bacterium. RNAcentral describes it as "bacterial SSU rRNA". It matches the Rfam family "Bacterial small subunit ribosomal RNA", at positions 355 to 825 of the family's 1533-position model. The record is from RNAcentral.